GAUGAAGAUCGCAGCGAAAUGCGAUACGUAAUGUGAAUUGCAGAAUUCAGUGAAUCAUCGAAUCUUUGAACGCACAUUGCGCCUGCCAGCACUCUGGCAGGCAUGCCUGUUCGAGCGUCAUUUCAACCAUCAAGCCCUAGGCUUGCGUUGGAGCCCUGCGGCUGCCGCAGGCCCCUAAAAGCAGUGGCGGGCUCGCUAUCACACCGAGUGCAGUAGAUUACUCUUCGCUCAGGGCGUGUGGCGGGUUCCAGCCGUGAAACCCCCUACUUCUCAAGGUUGACCUCGGAUCAGGUAGGAAUACCCGCUGAACUUAAGCAUAUCAAUAGCGGAGGA
RNAcentral lists this unclassified non-coding RNA (333 nucleotides) under soil metagenome. RNAcentral describes it as "partial contains 5.8S ribosomal RNA, internal transcribed spacer 2, and large subunit ribosomal RNA". The stretch from base 1 to 120 matches the Rfam family "5.8S ribosomal RNA", at positions 35 to 154 of the family's 154-position model. The record is from RNAcentral.